GCUGCCUAUACUGCAAGUCGAGCGGAUCUUCUCCUUCUGGAGAAGUUAGCGGCGGACGGGUGAUUAACACGUAAGCAACCUGCCCACAAGACCGGGAUAACAUUCGGAAACGAAUGCUAAGACCGGAUACGCAGCCUUGUCGCAUGACGGGGUUGGGAAACACGGCGCAAGCUGUGGCUUGUGGAUGGGCCUGCGGCGCAUUAGCUAGUUGGUGGGGUAAUGGCUCACCAAGGCGACGAUGCGUAGCCGACCUGAGAGGGUGAACGGCCACACUGGGACUGAGACACGGCCCAGACUCCUACGGGAGGCAGCAGUAGGGAAUCUUCCACAAUGGGCGAAAGCCUGAUGGAGCAACGCCGCGUGAGUGAGGAAGGCCUUCGGGUCGUAAAGCUCUGUUGCCAGGGAAGAAUAAGGGCUAGUUAACUGCUAGUCCGAUGACGGUACCUGAGAAGAAAGCCCCGGCUAACUACGUGCCAGCAGCCGCGGUAAUACGUAAGGGGCAAGCGUUGUCCGGAAUUAUUGAGCGUAAAGCGCGCGCAGGCGGCCUUUUAAGUCUGGUGUUUAAGUGCGGGGCUCAACCCCGUGACGCACUAGGAACUGGGAGGCUUGAGUGCAGAAGAAGAGAGCGGAAUUCCACGUGUAGCGGUGAAAUGCGUANAGAUGUGGAGGAACACCAGUGGCGAAAGCGGCUCUCUGGACUGUAACUGACGCUGAAGCGCGAAAGCGUGGGGGAGCAACAGGAUUAAAUACCCUGGUAAUCCACGCCGUAAACGAUGAUUGCUAGGUGUUGGGGGGAUCCCCCCCUCCGGUGCCAAAUUAACCCUUAAGCACUCGCCCGGGGGAUACAGGCCCCAGACUGAAACUCAAGGAAUGACGGGAACCCGCCCAACCGGGAAUUUGUGGUUUAAUCCAACCAACCCAAAAACCUUACCAGGUCUUGACUCCCCCUG
This 950-nucleotide ribosomal RNA is filed under the name Firmicutes bacterium enrichment culture clone CTBE CDB1010D08. RNAcentral describes it as "bacterial SSU rRNA". It matches the Rfam family "Bacterial small subunit ribosomal RNA", at positions 44 to 993 of the family's 1533-position model. Lineage: Bacteria; Bacillati; Bacillota. The record is from RNAcentral.